The sequence is a small nucleolar RNA, 284 nucleotides long. It matches the Rfam family "Fungal small nucleolar RNA U3". From Rfam's summary of the family: Small nucleolar RNAs (snoRNAs) are involved in the processing and modification of rRNA in the nucleolus. There are two main classes of snoRNAs: the box C/D class, and the box H/ACA class. U3 snoRNA is a member of the box C/D class. The record is from Rfam.
GUCGACGUACUUCAUAGGAUCAUUUCUAUAGGUCACGUCCCUCUUUGACUCUUCAAAAGAGCCACUGAAUCCAACUUGGUUGAUGAGUAAGAUACCCUUAUACCCUCAAAGUGAGAAUAUAUUUAGCUUGUCCGUGAUCCUAAGCGGUCCGGUCAUCUAUUUAUUGCCUUCGUUAUAAUGCCGGUUUUCAACUGGCAUUUUGAAGGAGCGAUGAUCUUUACCCAUUCUUAAAACUUCUUCGGUUGUUUUAACUAUGGGUGGGUAUAAGUGGCUGUCUGACAAGU